Molecule: ribosomal RNA, 485 nt
Filed under: uncultured Pseudomonadota bacterium
Lineage: Bacteria; Pseudomonadati; Pseudomonadota
Description: bacterial SSU rRNA
Rfam family: Bacterial small subunit ribosomal RNA
Source: RNAcentral
UGGGGAAUAUUGGACAAUGGGCGCAAGCCUGAUCCAGCAAUGCCGCGUGAGUGAUGAAGGCCUUCGGGUUGUAAAGCUCUUUCGCACGCGACGAUGAUGACGGUAGCGUGAGAAGAAGCCCCGGCUAACUUCGUGCCAGCAGCCGCGGUAAUACGAAGGGGGCUAGCGUUGUUCGGAAUUACUGGGCGUAAAGGGCGCGUAGGCGGUGUGUCAAGUCAGGCGUGAAAGCCCCGGGCUCAACCUGGGAACCGCGCUUGAGACUGGCACGCUCGAGUUCGGGAGAGGAUGGUGGAAUUCCCAGUGUAGAGGUGAAAUUCGUAGAUAUUGGGAAGAACACCGAUGGCGAAGGCAGCCAUCUGGACCGACACUGACGCUGAGGCGCGAAAGCGUGGGGAGCAAAACAGGAUUAGAUACCCUGGUAGUCCACGCCGUAAACGAUGAGUGCUAGACGUCGGGGCCCUCAGGCUUCGGUGUCGCAGCUAACG